GGGCCCGCACAAGCGGUGGAGCAUGUGGUUUAAUUCGAUGAUACGCGAGGAACCUUACCAGGGUUUAAAUGCAGAACGACAGGGGUGGAAACACCCCCUUCUUCGGACGGACUGCAAGGUGCUGCAUGGUUGUCGUCAGCUCGUGCUGUGAAGUGUCGGGUUAAGUCCCAUAACGAGCGCAACCCCCCAUUUCUAGUUGCCAGCGGUUCGGCCGGGGACUCUAGAGAAACUGCCAGCGUAAGCUGUGAGGAAGGUGGGGAUGACGUCAAAUCAUCACGGCCCUUACAUCCUGGGCCACACACGUGCUACAAUGGUGGGGACAACAGGUUGCCAACCCGCGAGGGUGAGCCAAUCCCAAAACCCUAUCACAGUUCGGAUCGCAGUCUGCAACUCGACUGCGUGAAGCUGGAAUCGCUAGUAAUCG
RNAcentral lists this ribosomal RNA (424 nucleotides) under uncultured bacterium. RNAcentral describes it as "bacterial SSU rRNA". It matches the Rfam family "Bacterial small subunit ribosomal RNA", at positions 917 to 1344 of the family's 1533-position model. The record is from RNAcentral.